RNAcentral lists this unclassified non-coding RNA (200 nucleotides) under Myriangium sp. RNAcentral describes it as "partial internal transcribed spacer 2". Lineage: Eukaryota; Fungi; Ascomycota; Dothideomycetes; Myriangiales; Myriangiaceae. The record is from RNAcentral.
UUAAGUUCAGCGGGUAUCCCUACCUGAUCCGAGGUCAACCUUUGAUUGUGAGGUUGCGGCGGAGGCCACCGGUGCUCCUGACGUUCGAACUGUGAGAUUCUUAACACGCCGGGGGUCGGUUUCCUCGCCGAUGCAUUUCGGGCGGCCCACCGCGGGGGGCGGGCCGGGCACCCAAUACCAAGCCAGGCUUGAUUGGUGAA